UACGUAUGGUGCAAGCGUUAUCCGGAUUUACUGGGUGUAAAGGGAGCGCAGGCGGCGCGUUAAGCCUGGUGUGAAAGCCCGCGGCCCAACCGCGGGACUGCAUUGGGAACUGGCGCGCUGGAGUGCCAGAGGGGUAGGCGGAAUUCCUAGUGUAGCGGUGAAAUGCGUAGAUAUUAGGAGGAACACCAGUGGCGAAGGCGGCCUACUGGACGGUGACUGACGCUGAGGCUCGAAAGCGUGGGGAGCAAACAGG
This 253-nucleotide ribosomal RNA is filed under the name uncultured bacterium. Its description in RNAcentral is "partial 16S ribosomal RNA". It matches the Rfam family "Bacterial small subunit ribosomal RNA", at positions 524 to 776 of the family's 1533-position model. The record is from RNAcentral.